AGUGACAGUGAGAUGUUUUGAGGUUAUGCUGAAAGUGGAUAUACGUUAUUCUGACUAGGAACUGGUGUUUUUUUUUGUUUAUCGGUGUCUAAGCAGCGUUUGUGAGUGUUUUUGAAUAUUUGAUAUUUUGUUUUGAAGUGUAUCGAGAGUGACGUUUCCGGGAUGAUGCUCCAGUGAUUUGUGUUUACUUCAGCAAGUAACGGGACGCUUCUACUACACUUCUUGUCGUUGUUUAUGAACCGGACGUGUAAAUAAGUUGCAGAAUGUCACGUAAAUCUCGCCAGGGGUACACCAUUCGUCAUCUUCUACAGUUGCCGAGUACGCGUUCACCGGGGCCUCACCCUCCGCCGCCGGCUAUCAAGGUAAGGACUUCAGUAUAUGCACGAUUAGUAGUGUCAGGUGUGAAGGUGUUGUAAGGAUCUUGAAGCGCGACCUGCUUGUAAAAUAUAAUAUAUGAAACAAUAAUGAGUUUAUCUUUAUACAUAAAAUACAAUAAUAUUAACAGAUCGUUCCAGAAUAUUUAUUUUAUAUAAUAUGACCUGU
Long non-coding RNA from Danaus plexippus (monarch butterfly), 543 nucleotides. RefSeq lists it as uncharacterized. NCBI's taxonomy places the organism in Eukaryota, Metazoa, Arthropoda, Insecta, Lepidoptera, Nymphalidae. The transcript has 3 exons. The record is from RefSeq and is a predicted model, not a curated record.